GACGAACGCUGGCGGCGUGCCUAAUACAUGCAAGUUGAGCGCUGAAGGUUGGUACUUGUACCAACUGGAUGAGCAGCGAACGGGUGAGUAACGCGUGGGGAAUCUGCCUUUGAGCGGGGGACAACAUUUGGAAACGAAUGCUAAUACCGCAUAAAAACUUUAAACACAAGUUUUAAGUUUGAAAGAUGCAAUUGCAUCACUCAAAGAUGAUCCCGCGUUGUAUUAGCUAGUUGGUGAGGUAAAGGCUCACCAAGGCGAUGAUACAUAGCCGACCUGAGAGGGUGAUCGGCCACAUAGGGACUGAGACACGGCCCAAACUCCUACGGGAGGCAGCAGUAGGGAAUCUUCGGCAAUGGACGAAAGUCUGACCGAGCAACGCCGCGGGAGUGAAGAAGGUUUUCGGAUCGUAAAACUCUGUUGGUAGAGAAGAACGUUGGUGAGAGUGGAAAGCUCAUCAAGUGACGGUAACUACCCAGAAAGGGACGGCUAACUACGUG
Molecule: ribosomal RNA, 497 nt
Filed under: uncultured bacterium
Lineage: Bacteria
Description: partial 16S ribosomal RNA
Rfam family: Bacterial small subunit ribosomal RNA
Source: RNAcentral